GAUGAACGCUGGCGGCGUGCCUAAUACAUGCAAGUCGAGCGAACAGACGAGGAGCUUGCUCCUCUGACGUUAGCGGCGGACGGGUGAGUAACACGUGGAUAACCUACCUAUAAGACUGGGAUAACUUCGGGAAACCGGAGCUAAUACCGGAUAAUAUAUUGAACCGCAUGGUUCAAUAGUGAAAGACGGUUUUGCUGUCACUUAUAGAUGGAUCCGCGCCGCAUUAGCUAGUUGGUAAGGUAACGGCUUACCAAGGCGACGAUGCGUAGCCGACCUGAGAGGGGGAUCGGCCACGCGGGAGAUGGGAAGGGGUCCCACCCCGGACGGGGGACAGCGGCGGGAAAUCUACCGGAGGGGGCGAAAGCCUGACGGGGACACCCCGCGUGAGUGAGAACGGUCUUCGGCUCGUAAAUCUUUUUUUUUUGGGAAGAAAAAAUGUUUAAGUAACUUGACCAGUUUGACAGUAACCGAAUAAGAAGCCCCGGGUAACCCCGUG
This 496-nucleotide ribosomal RNA is filed under the name uncultured bacterium. RNAcentral describes it as "partial 16S ribosomal RNA". It matches the Rfam family "Bacterial small subunit ribosomal RNA", at positions 28 to 507 of the family's 1533-position model. The record is from RNAcentral.